This 71-nucleotide transfer RNA is filed under the name Xenorhina sp. TNHC-GDC 31177. RNAcentral describes it as "tRNA-Ile". It matches the Rfam family "tRNA". Rfam says of the family: Transfer RNA (tRNA) molecules are approximately 80 nucleotides in length. Their secondary structure includes four short double-helical elements and three loops (D, anti-codon, and T loops). Further hydrogen bonds mediate the characteristic L-shaped molecular structure. tRNAs have two regions of fundamental functional importance: the anti-codon, which is responsible for specific mRNA codon recognition, and the 3' end, to which the tRNAs corresponding amino acid is attached (by aminoacyl-tRNA synthetases). tRNAs cope with the degeneracy of the genetic code in two manners: having more than one tRNA (with a specific anti-codon) for a particular amino acid; and 'wobble' base-pairing, i.e. permitting non-standard base-pairing at the 3rd anti-codon position. Lineage: Eukaryota; Metazoa; Chordata; Amphibia; Anura; Microhylidae. The record is from RNAcentral.
AGAAGUAUGCCCGAAAGAUAAGGACCUCCUUGAUAGGGAGAUAAAUAUGGGUUCAAAUCCCAUCACUUCCU